Long non-coding RNA from Pseudophryne corroboree (corroboree frog), 934 nucleotides. RefSeq lists it as uncharacterized. The transcript is spliced from 4 exons. NCBI's taxonomy places the organism in Eukaryota, Metazoa, Chordata, Amphibia, Anura, Myobatrachidae. The record is from RefSeq and is a predicted model, not a curated record.
UAUUCGCCGGAGAUGGCAAGUAAAAUAGUGGUCCUGUGCGCAAUACUACAUAAUAUCGCGGUAAGGAGUAGUGUAGAGCUUCCUCAGGCAGAGGAAUUGCCUGAUGAGGAGCCAGGGGUUGGUCCACGCUUCGGUGGGGGGAGUGUGACACGGAGGGGGAGCCAAGUGAGGGCAAGAAUUGUUGCAGAAUAUUUCAGCUGAAUGAUCACACGAACUGUGGACAACAACAACGGCAAAACUCACCACCCCCUUCCCCUUCCCACUCCCCCUCACCUUCACACUCCCCCUCCCCUUCUCACUCCCCCUCCCCUUCUCACUCCCCCUCCCCUUCACAGUCCCCCUCAGCUUCCCAGUCCCCCUCAGCUUCCCAGUCCCCCUCAGCUUCCCAGUCCACCUCAUCUUCCCAGUCCACCUCAGCUUCCCAGGCCCCAUCAGCUUCCCUGGCCCACUCCACUUUCCAUUCCCCUUCUCACCACACCUCUCCAUCUCUAUCUGGGACCCCUUCUCCUCCUUCCCAUACCCCUUCUCCUUCUAAUUCUACAUCCCAAUCUGAACCCCCCACACCCUCUAUUGCCUUAACUUUCUCUCCGCCCCCCUCGCCCUCUCAAUCAGACCCCCCCUCUGAAAUUGGCAACCAAAUCCAGCCUCCUUCCCCCAUCCAGCCUCCUGCCCCAAUCCCUCCUCCUUCCCCAAUCCCUCCUCCUUCCCCAAUCCCUCCUCCUUCCCCAAUCCCUCCUCCUUCCCCCAUCCAGCCACCUUCCCCCAUCCAGCCAACAUCCCCACCCAGUGAAUGGGCAGAGGAAGCCCCUGCAGACCGGUCCGGGAGUCUUGAGGUUGCCGUGGAAAAUGUUGCAGUUGGAGAUCCAACAAGUUUAUCCGGGAUUCUUUACACCAUGCGCCUACACCUGCAAGGAAUAAUGAAUUGUGUUGACCA